Molecule: long non-coding RNA, 1187 nt
Organism: Chinchilla lanigera (long-tailed chinchilla)
Lineage: Eukaryota; Metazoa; Chordata; Mammalia; Rodentia; Chinchillidae
Exons: 3
Source: RefSeq, a predicted model, not a curated record
UAUCCAAGGCUCUGUGGACCACCUCUACUGUCGGCUGGAACAUUUGCCAACUAUAGCAAUUCAACCCCCAAAUCUUCACUAUAUUGCCAUACUGGUUAUAAAAACAGAGCAGUGCUCAAGGAAUGUUUACAGCUAAGGAGACUCCACAGAGGAUUGCCUGAAGGACAUGAAGUCCAUUCAUCUCUUCAGAUAGUUUAGAUUACAACUCAGGAUCAAGAUUUUGUCUUACUGAAUGUCCUCUACCGAACUAUGAGAAAAAUGUGAGAAAACCAAGGCGCAGAAAUACUGAGUCACUAUUAUUGCUACACAAGUUUUCAUUGAGAACUGGGAGUGAAUCAGAGACCAGGGUUCCUACAACAUUCUACUGAAGAUGGAAUUUUCUGUAAGAGUGAGUGCUUAGAGUCUAUUUAUUUUUGUGUAGCAUUUUGUUAGACUAUCCAACUGAAUAGCCAUCCCUUCCAUAAUAAAUAUUAUGGUGAUAGGACAUGAAGCUUAGAAUCAUAAGAGUUGACACUGAAAAAGACCUUAAAAUCAGCAUGCUCAAUACCCAUCCAUUGCCUACCCAGCUUGGACACCUCCUACGAUGUAGAGCUUACUGCAGUUAGAGGCAAACAGUCUCAUCUUCGCACAGUUAGAAAGUGUUACCAUUGAGCUACCCUUCAAGAACCUCAAACCUCACAUGUUCAAACCUUAAUUCAUACAGCAGUUUCAUAAUUUUCUUUAUAAUUAAUUGGGGAGCUGGGCUUACCAGAGGAGAGUGAGUGCUAAUGAAGGUAACGUUAUCCCAUCAAUAAUUAAACACAGAUUACAUUUAAGCACCCAUGUUUUCAUUACUAAGGCCAAGGAAAGAGGUCAGUAGAAAGUGUUGUCCUAUCUCCUUGGGAUUUUCCAAGAUUGCUUUGUCCAAGCUUAGUAGCUUAGUAUUCAUUUAUACUAGAAGACAAUUCUAUCAGUCAGGGCCCUAAGAAAAAAGCAGAUGAGACAUUCAAAAGGGAUUUGAGGUAUAUUAAUGAAGAGACAUUUACAAAGGUAUGGGCAAAGUUCAAGGAACUUAUUGUGUUCAAGCACAAGGCUAACAAUAGUCAAGAAGCACUGGUAUCUGUAGGCCUGAGGGGUGAAGGGAAGGAGCAGGCUCCAAACAAAGAAAAGAAGCCACAGAAGUUAAGAUCGUACAUAUGGGAACACAC